Molecule: ribosomal RNA, 468 nt
Filed under: uncultured bacterium
Lineage: Bacteria
Description: partial 16S ribosomal RNA
Rfam family: Bacterial small subunit ribosomal RNA
Source: RNAcentral
GACGAACGCUGGCGGCGUGCUUAACACAUGCAAGUCGAACGGAAAGGCCCUGCUUUUGUGGGGUGCCCGAGUGGCGAACGGGUGAGUAACACGUGAGUAACCUGCCCUUGACUUUGGGAUAACUUCAGGAAACUGGGGCUAAUACCGGAUAGGAGCUCCUGCUGCAUGGUGGGGGUUGGAAAGUUUCGGCGGUUGGGGAUGGACUCGCGGCUUAUCAGCUUGUUGGUGGGGUAGUGGCUUACCAAGGCUUUGACGGGUAGCCGGCCUGAGAGGGUGACCGGCCACAUUGGGACUGAGAUACGGCCCAGACUCCUACGGGAGGCAGCAGUGGGGAAUAUUGCACAAUGGGCGGAAGCCUGAUGCAGCAACGCCGCGUGCGGGAUGACGGCCUUCGGGUUGUAAACCGCUUUCGCCUGUGACGAAGCGUGAGUGACGGUAAUGGGUAAAGAAGCUCCGGCUAACUACGUG